This 460-nucleotide ribosomal RNA is filed under the name uncultured bacterium. RNAcentral's name for it is "partial 16S ribosomal RNA". It matches the Rfam family "Bacterial small subunit ribosomal RNA", at positions 338 to 795 of the family's 1533-position model. The record is from RNAcentral.
CCUACGGGUGGCUGCAGUGAGGAAUAUUGGUCAAUGGACGAGAGUCUGAACCAGCAAAGUAGCGUGAAGGAUGACUGCCCUAUGGGUUGUAAACUUCUUUUAUAUGGGAAUAAAACGUUCCACGUGUGGGAUUUUGUAUGUACCAUAUGAAUAAGGAUCGGCUAACUCCGUGCCAGCAGCCGCGGUAAUACGAGGGAACCGAGCGUUAUCCGGAUUUAUUGGGUUUAAAGGGAGCGUAGGUGGAUUGUUAAGUCAGUUGUGAAAGUUUGCGGCUCAACCGUAAAAUUGCAGUUGAAACUGGCAGUCUUGAGUACAGUAGAGGUGGGCGGAAUUCGUGGUGUAGCGGUGAAAUGCUUAGAUAUCACGAAGAACUCCGAUUGCGAAGGCAGUUCACUGGACUGCAACUGACACUGAGGCUCGAAAGUGUGGGUAUCAAACAGGAUUAGAUACCCUUGUAGUC